RNAcentral lists this ribosomal RNA (761 nucleotides) under uncultured Prevotella sp. RNAcentral's name for it is "bacterial SSU rRNA". It matches the Rfam family "Bacterial small subunit ribosomal RNA", at positions 28 to 776 of the family's 1533-position model. The record is from RNAcentral. Lineage: Bacteria; Pseudomonadati; Bacteroidota; Bacteroidia; Bacteroidales; Prevotellaceae.
GAUGAACGCUAGCUAUAGGCUUAACACAUGCAAGUCGAGGGGAAACGGCAUUAUGUGCUUGCACAUUUUGGACGUCGACCGGCGCACGGGUGAGUAUCGCGUAUCCAACCUGCCCUUUACUUGGGGAUACCCCGUUGAAAGACGGCCUAAUACCCGGUGUAAUUCAUUGAUGGCAUCAGAUAUGAAUAAAAGAUUUAUCGGUAAAGGAUGGGGAUGCGUCUGAUUAGCUUGUUGGUGAGGUAAUGGCUCACCAAGGCGACGAUCAGUAGGGGUUCUGAGAGGAAGGUCCCCCACAUUGGAACUGAGACACGGUCCAAACUCCUACGGGAGGCAGCAGUGAGGAAUAUUGGUCAAUGGGCGCAAGCCUGAACCAGCCAAGUAGCGUGCAGGAAGACGGCCCUAUGGGUUGUAAACUGCUUUUAUACGAGAAUAAUUUGAUGCACGUGUGCGUUAUUGCAUGUAUCGUAUGAAUAAGGACCGGCUAAUUCCGUGCCAGCAGCCGCGGUAAUACGGAAGGUCCAGGCGUUAUCCGGAUUUAUUGGGUUUAAAGGGAGUGUAGGCGGUUUGUUAAGCGUGUUGUGAAAUUUAGGUGCUCAACAUUUAACUUGCAGCGCGAACUGUCAGACUUGAGUACACGCAACGUAUGCGGAAUUCAUGGUGUAGCGGUGAAAUGCUUAGAUAUCAUGAAGAACUCCGAUUGCGAAGGCAGCAUACGGGAGUGUAACUGACGCUUAAGCUCGAAGGUGCGGGUAUCGAACAGG